UAAAAUCCACAUCCAUGUGACUGUUUAUGCAAAUCCAGUAUUUUACUCCUGAGGUUUAAAAACCUGAGCAGACAGUCGGACGUUCAGCAUAAACAUUAAGCAUGUUUCCUCUCACUGUGCUGCUGCUGUUGGCAGCUGGAACCUGUGUGAAGUGUGAACAGCUGACACAGCCAGACUCUGUGACUGUGCAGCCAGGUCAGCGUCUGACCCUCACCUGUCAGGUCUCUUAUUCUGUGACCAGCUACUGGACAGCUUGGAUCAGACAACCUGCAGGGAAAGGACUGGAGUGGAUCGGGAUGAGAUGCACUGGAGGCUCUCGCUACAAAGAUUCACUGAAGAACAAAUUCACCAUUGAUGUUGAUGCUUCCAGCAACACAGUGACUCUAAACGGACAGAACCUGCAGCCUGACUCUGCUGUUUAUUACUGUGCCAGAGACACACAGUGACUUAAAGCAUCAGUGGAGCUGAACAAAAACCCUCCUGUGUCUGAACAACACAGAGCCACCAGAGGAGGAGCCCUCAGACAACAGAUGCCCUGAACUUCACCAAAAUGUCAACUGAAACUAUUCAC
This is a non-coding RNA of Betta splendens (Siamese fighting fish), 571 nucleotides long. The record is from the annotation of a RefSeq genome assembly. Lineage: Eukaryota; Metazoa; Chordata; Actinopteri; Anabantiformes; Osphronemidae.